GCGAGCGUUGUCCGGAUUUAUUGGGCGUAAAGGGCUCGUAGGUGGUUGAUCGCGUCGGAAGUGUAAUCUUGGGGCUUAACCCUGAGCGUGCUUUCGAUACGGGUUGACUUGAGGAAGGUAGGGGAGAAUGGAAUUCCUGGUGGAGCGGUGGAAUGCGCAGAUAUCAGGAGGAACACCAGUGGCGAAGGCGGUUCUCUGGGCCUUUCCUGACGCUGAGGAGCGAAAGCGUGGGGAGCGAACAGGCUUAGAUACCCUGGUAGUCCACGCUGUAAACGGUGGGUACUAGGUGUGGGGUCCAUUCCACGGGUUCCGUGCCGUAGCUAACGCUUUAAGUACCCCGCCUGGGGAGUACGGCCGCAAGGCUAAAACUCAAAGGAAUUGACGGGGCCCCGCACAAGCGGCGGAGCAUGCGGAUUAAUUCGAUGCAACGCGUAGAACCUUACCUGGGUUUGACAUGGAUCGGGAGUGCUCAGAGAUGGGUGUGCCUCUUUUGGGGUCGGUUCACAGGUGGUGCAUGGCUGUCGUCAGCUCGUGUCGUGAGAUGUUGGGUUAAGUCCCGCAACGAGCGCAACCCUUGUUCACUGUUGCCAGCACGUUAUGGUGGGGACUCAGUGGAGACCGCCGGGGUCAACUCGGAGGAAGGUGGGGAUGACGUCAAGUCAUCAUGCCCCUUAUGUCCAGGGCUUCACGCAUGCUACAAUGGCUGGUACAGAGAGUGGCGAGUCUGUGAGGGUGAGCGAAUCUCGGAAAGCCGGUCUCAGUUCGGAUUGGGGUCUGCAACUCGACCUCAUGAAGUCGGAGUCGCUAGUAAUCGCAGAUCAGCAACGCUGCGGUGAAUACGUUCCCGGGGCUUGUACACACCGCCCGUCAAGUCAUGAAAGUUGGUAACACCCGAAGCCGGUGGCCUAACC
This 911-nucleotide ribosomal RNA is filed under the name uncultured Propionibacterium sp. RNAcentral's name for it is "bacterial SSU rRNA". It matches the Rfam family "Bacterial small subunit ribosomal RNA", at positions 534 to 1440 of the family's 1533-position model. The record is from RNAcentral. Lineage: Bacteria; Bacillati; Actinomycetota; Actinomycetes; Propionibacteriales; Propionibacteriaceae.